GCACCCAUAGCUCAACUGGAUAGAGCGCCAGACUACGGAUCUGGAGGUUAGGGGUUCGACUCCCUUUGGGUGCACCA
Molecule: transfer RNA, 77 nt
Filed under: Thermoanaerobaculia bacterium
Lineage: Bacteria; Pseudomonadati; Acidobacteriota; Thermoanaerobaculia
Also listed under: 1 other name
Description: tRNA-Arg
Rfam family: tRNA
About the family: Transfer RNA (tRNA) molecules are approximately 80 nucleotides in length.
Source: RNAcentral